RNAcentral lists this long non-coding RNA (1170 nucleotides) under Ficedula albicollis (Collared flycatcher). Its description in RNAcentral is "lncRNA (ENSFALG00000019380.2)". The record is from RNAcentral. Lineage: Eukaryota; Metazoa; Chordata; Aves; Passeriformes; Muscicapidae.
AUGGUGCUGCCGGGGGGGUGUGGAGCGGAUCCGCCCGAGCUGCCCCCCCCCCCCCCCCCCCCCCCCCCCCCCCCCCCCCCCCCCCCCCCCCCCCCCCCCCCCCCCCCCCCCCCCCCCCCCCGGGCUCGGGGCUACCGGGCUGGGCUCCGGGCUACCUACCCGGGCUCCGGGCUACCUGCUCAGGGCUACCUAACCCGGCUCCGGGCUACCUGCUUGGGCUCCGGGGCUACCUGCCGGGGCUCAGGGCUACCUGCUCGGGUUCCUGGGCUACCUGCUCCGGUUUCUGGGCUACCUGGCCGGGCUCGGGGUUCUCUGCCCCGGCUGCCACCGCACGCAGCCCCGGGGAGCGGGGAGAACGCGGCCGGAGCCAGAAAACAAGGAAUCCCAAAGUGCAGCUGGCUGAGCCUCCCCUGACCUCAACAUCUGGGACCAAAGUGAUCUGGGCUGGAAACUUUGGGGCACAGGCAGCUGUUCCUGGCAUCAAAUCCCACUGCUGAGCCUCCCCUGGCAUCAAACCUCACUGCUGAGCCUCCUCUGAUAUCAAACCUCACUGCUGAGCCUCCUCUGAUAUCAAACCUCACUGCUGAGCCUCCUCUGAUAUCAAACCUCACUGCUGAGCCUCCUCUGAUAUCAAACCUCACUGCUGAGCCUCCUCUGAUAUCAAACCUCACUGCUGAGCCUCCUCUGAUAUCAAACCUCACUGCUGAGCCUCCUCUGAUAUCAAACCUCACUGCUGAGCCUCCUCUGAUAUCAAACCUCACUGCUGAGCCUCCUCUGAUAUCAAACCUCACUGCUGAGCCUCCUCUGAUAUCAAACCUCACUGCUGAGCCUCCUCUGAUAUCAAACCUCACUGCUGAGCCUCCUCUGAUAUCAAACCUCACUGCUGAGCCUCCUCUGAUAUCAAACCUCACUGCUGAGCCUCCUCUGAUAUCAAACCUCACUGCUGAGCCUCCUCUGAUAUCAAACCUCACUGCUGAGCCUCCUCUGAUAUCAAACCUCACUGCUGAGCCUCCUCUGAUAUCAAACCUCACUGCUGAGCCUCCUCUGAUAUCAAACCUCACUGCUGAGCCUCCUCUGACCCCCCCCCCCCCCCCCCCCCCCCCCCCCCCCCCCCCCCCCCCCCCCCCCCCCCCCCCCCCCCCCCCCCCCCCCCCCCCCCCCCCCCCCCCC